RNAcentral lists this long non-coding RNA (277 nucleotides) under Elaeis guineensis (African oil palm). RNAcentral's name for it is "long non-coding RNA (EGUI_LNC039556)". The record is from RNAcentral. Lineage: Eukaryota; Viridiplantae; Streptophyta; Magnoliopsida; Arecales; Arecaceae.
AUUAUUUGAGCAAAUAGUAAGUGCCAUUGGGUCUAAGAGAUCCAGAACCAAAUAACUUGAAGUAUACAGAUGGUUCUUUUUGGCUAGGUCAUGUAUGAGAAGAAAUGAUUUACCGAUCGAAGAAAAUAGACUUUUAGGCUCAUUGACUAUUAAGUCAUAUCUAGUCUGUGAAUCAUCUCUUUGAAGAUUAAUGAUCAAGCUGUCUUGUCCUUUACGGGUUAAAAAAAUAGGACCAUUGAGAUACUUGUCCUAGUACACACACAAUGUGUAUGGCCCA